This 4438-nucleotide long non-coding RNA is filed under the name Gallus gallus (chicken). Lineage: Eukaryota; Metazoa; Chordata; Aves; Galliformes; Phasianidae. The record is from RNAcentral.
AUUGUUUUCAUUUGGGUCGUGAAACAUUCUAGUUUGCUUUGAGGGAAGACAGAAUGAAACUUAUCUCUUCAUUAGCGAAAUCAAAGCUCAGCAGCAAACUUCAGUAAAUUCAAACACAAGUCAGUUCUAAGAGAAAAUCUGAUUUCCAAUUAUGGUUAUUUAUUUAUUUACCAACUAGUUCUAGUUUUCUUAAAAUAUACCAGGGAUUUGUAGAUACUCACUAAAGAGCUGAACCAAAAAAAAGGAAAGAGCACUCAAACUGUAAGUUGUUUUUGAAAUGUUCAAUACUAUAUUAAGAAAAGAGGGAGUUCAGAAUAUGGUUUUACAAGUACAGGCAUUCAUCCCAGUUUUCCACAGCGACAUAAAUUAAAUCAGCUCUUCAGUAGUCAUGGGAUCUGAGUCCUAGUUGCUAGUUGUCAAAUAUACAUUUGGAACAAAGUGACACCGCUCUCUUCAUGAAGCCAGAUGGGCUAGAUCUGCAGGAGUAUAAACCUAGAUUUGUUAAGUUACCUGAUACAUCAGUGACAGAUUUCACCUAUUUCAUUUUUAUUCAACUGGCUGAACCACUGAUGAGGAAUUCUUGCUACAGAGUUCAAUAACUGAGUAGUUGGGAGCAGGGUGGCUCGGCCAGAUGUUUCUAAAAUCAGUCCAUGGGGGUGGUAACUCUGUUACUGCAGUUCUGCAUGAAAUAGCUACAGAAGGGAGAGAAGAGAACCAUGCUUUUAUUGACUGUGCAAACUGUGCUCUAAAUAGUAUGAGGAUACAGGAUAAGAUCUGUUAUCUAUAUAUUCUGUGCUGGCAAUUUUUUAUUUUUCUUUCUGUCCAAAUUCUGGGAGAGGAUGAUUUUUAAUGCAAUCAAGAGUGAUCUGCAGAGCAUUGUUAUGUGUGGAAUGGAGGGUACAGAUAGUCUGAUUUUGUGUCCUUACCUACAAAAGAACUCAGAAAAGGGAAGAUGCUUUCUUCCACUGUGGUUUCUGCUUUGUGUCCAAGCAGCAUUUUCUUACUCUCUCCCAGAUUUUUUAAUGAAGACAUAUAUUCUUUAAUAACUGAGGCUUUGCAUCCACGAGGUUGUUCAUAACCACUAAUCCUCAAUGAAGAUCAAAUAAAUAUCUGGAGAAAAGAAAUUAUUUUCCCACCUCAGCUCCUGGUCCUAGAGGACUUCAUCGUUCUCACUGCUGUAACAGGUCAAAAUAACCUUUCUUCAAAAGACUUCCCCACAGACAAAUUUGUGGGGCCUGAUUGGGUGCCUUAGGUGCCUUUAACUCUUCUAAAAGAACCAUUAAGAACCUGAAGGAGAUGAUGCUGGGUAAUUCUUUUGUCAGAGUUCAUGUUACUAACCCCACAGUUGAGUUGUACCAUGUUUAGAAAGCUCACAUCUCACUUUCCAUCAAAUUUAUGACAGUUAACUUAUUCGUAUAAUUUUCUUCCAUGAUUGAAGACGUUUUAGUAGCCCUUUCCUUCUAAUUCCAGGCUAAAGCUCUAGUUUUAUGGUCUGUAUUUAUAGGCACUCAUUUUAGGCAUUUGCCUUUUGCAUAUUGUCUUGAAUAAGCAAUGCAAGGAAAUAAAACGAUAUGAGAGAAUCUCCUGUCAGAGGAAGAGUCCUCUGUUUUCAGUUGUAGGGCUCAGAGGAAGUAAGUCUUACGGGAGCAGUCUGUUCUAAAUGUAAGAUGAUUGUCUGUUGAUGCUUUCCCUUCACAAAAUUAAGCCUGUACUUAUUAAUGAAAAAAAAAAAUGAAAGCAAGGCAAAUGCAAGGUGGUUAAGAACGCAAAACUCUUUUUUUUGCCCAAAAUGACUGCUUCUAAAAUGUGAUUAUGUUGCUGCUAUCACACUGUAAUUGUCUUUCCCACUGUCCCAUGUGACUGUGAGGAAACUAUUUGAGUAGUUUUGAUGAAGACUUAAUGACUGAGGAGUCUUUUCCUACCCCAUUUCCAAAUAGCAAGAGUUUGGCAUAUAAAUACAAAAUGUCCUACAUGUUUUAAAGAAUUUGUCAAUCUUUAUAUCUUGAUUCUGAGCUCAGGGUUCACUACAACAUAUUUUCAAGGUCUUCAGAAAAACAAUGGCAAGAGGAUUUUUAAUGAAAAUUUUUUAGCAUGGCUUCGGGAACUGGGGUUAUAAGAGAGAACAUCAGCUAUCAAUAUUUAAUAAAAUGAGUGAGAACUGUUAGUCAAACUGCUCAAUCCUUGUUGCUUUUCAACAACCUCUUGCCAUAAAGUCACCAAUGCAGUUUAGCAGGGUGAUAAGAUAAAGCAUGUGUUCGGCUGUGGUCAAAUACCUUGAGAUACACCUUUCCCAAUUCACAGGGAAUUUUUAGUGUAAAUUUCAAAGAGAAUCAUUUUACCUACGAAGUUAAAAUAAAAAUAAAAAUAAAUUCCUACUCAGCUCACAUUAGUAGAAGCAUUUGCCUCACCUAGAAUGCUAUACAAUAUUCCAGAUUUAUUGUGACUGUAAACAACUCUGCUUGCUCUAUAGCUUUUCUGGACUCUAACAGUAAAACACAGUAUCUCUAUCUGGUUGGAAUUAUGUGUUAUAACAGUUUUAUUGUGGGGGGGUAAAGCUCUGAUAAAGAUGAAAUAGAGUUUUGCUUUUUUGUGUGACCUUGUCGUUUGAAAAAGCAUUGCACUCUAACGAGAUAUAAUUUAAAAGACCUCUGGGAGCAAAUUGAGUUUACUGAGAUAUUUCUAAGAGUAAUUACUUACUGUGAGUUGUCAGUAUUGCUCUGUUACAGUUCCUUUCCUAGCAAAUGUAGAUAUCUUGGACUGUGUAGAAUGGAUUAGAGCUCCUACCAUUAAUGUUUGAUGGGAGGCAGUAGUGAAAAAGAUGGAUGCUUAUAUAACUGACAUUUCCAGCAUUUAUGGCCAUAGACUAAAAUGCCAGGCGCAUAAUUUCAAGUAAAAUGGCAGGCCCAACUCAAUAAUAUUUAAUGAUGUAGUAGACCUUGGCUAGGAGAAUAGCUAACGGAAGUCAUUGCACUGCAUUUAUUGAAUUGUUAAAAUGAGUUGAAUAAUAAUUGUGUUUUGCAGGGGUUUUGUUUUAGUAAUAUAUUUCUGAGAUCUGAUAUUCUGAAAGUAAAUUAUUUAUCAUUCCAGUCAACAUAAAAUACAGGAAAGACUUCGAACUCCUUAACUGAUGGCAAGAUUUUUAGAUUGACUUUGUCCUAGCGUUUACAGCACAGAAAUAUAUUCAGUAGCUUAGGACACAGUUUGGAAGAUCAUGUGAAACUGAUUUCAAAAGGUAAUGAAAGAUAAAACUACCUCCUCAAAAAAACCUGUUUUAAUAUUUUGACUCUUUACGAAGUUGGCCCUUUUUGUCUAUCAUUGUACUUCUAGAAAUGACAAGAUUUAGAUCCUUGGGAGCUUGUUAUAUCAAGGAAUCUUCGUAUGCCCAGACUGAGAUACCACUGAUAAUGUCAAUUAACAGAAUAUUAACUGCUUCAGUACCAUUCUGUUAAUAUUUUAGAAAGCCUUAAAUAAGCUAGGGGGACUUGAACUGAUGGAGAAGGUAAAAUUAAUAGAGGCCUGUAGGUAUAUUGAUUUCAGGUCUUUGGGUGAAGGCUCCAGGGUUUAUUCAUGUGGAAGGCACAGAACGUGGGUGGACUGGAAGAAGAGGCGUGCACACCUAUCCCUGUGGGCCUCUAGGACCCCCAUCUACAAGUAAAUGCAUCCAGCUGGCUAUGUGAUCAUGCAGGCUUUUUGGUAAGCUUAGAAAAGAAAUUCUGCAUGUUCAGGUUUAAAAGCAACAACAAAAAAAGCAAACCACAUUCUUACUUUUUCAGGGAGACUUUUGAAAGCAUUUCAUUUCUAACAAAAUCUAAACAUUUUAUUUAGAAUAUUCUACCUAUUACAAAAAAAAAAAAAAAAGGAAGGGGGGGGGCAGAGGGGCUGGAAAGAAAUGAGGAACCUUGAGGAACCAUUUUAUCUCUGUUCCACCAUUACCCAGACUAUUUUUUUCCUUUUUUUUUUUUUUUUUUUUAAUAGAGGCUAUAUAAUUAUCUGAGGUAGCUAAGAAGUUUUUCUUCUCUGUAUCCCUAUUAGACCUCUUUACUAGACAUCUGAAAAGACUGAGUCCUGAAUAUCCAUGCUUAUUUCUUUCAGUGAAAGUAACAUUUUUUUUUUUCUUUCAAGAAUUCACCAAACCUGCCUGUCAUGGCCUUACAUAUAAAUUUUUUGAAACUGCAUUGUUGUCAACAGGCCUAUGUCAUAGCUCUUAACAGUACUUAGUAUGUCAUUCUGUUUUGUACAAGAGUAAAAUUGAAAUGGAGGAUAGCUCUACUUCACAUCUGAGAAGUGGACCAGGUUAAUGCAAAACUAAUGGAGAAUUCUGCUUUACUGCAGAACGUUUUGAAACAAUUCAAGCAUGGGAGGAACUGAAAAGCUGAUGUUAAUGGAUUUCAUGGGGUAGGGCUGCAAUAAGCUCCUGAGAAAUUGAGAGGUGGAGAUA